Molecule: ribosomal RNA, 1240 nt
Filed under: Staphylococcus aureus
Lineage: Bacteria; Bacillati; Bacillota; Bacilli; Caryophanales; Staphylococcaceae
Description: partial 23S ribosomal RNA
Rfam family: Bacterial large subunit ribosomal RNA
Source: RNAcentral
CACUGCCGAGAAAAGCCUCUAGAUAGAAAAUAGGUGCCCGUACCGCAAACCGACACAGGUAGUCAAGAUGAGAAUUCUAAGGUGAGCGAGCGAACUCUCGUUAAGGAACUCGGCAAAAUGACCCCGUAACUUCGGGAGAAGGGGUGCUCUUUAGGGUUAACGCCCAGAAGAGCCGCAGUGAAUAGGCCCAAGCGACUGUUUAUCAAAAACACAGGUCUCUGCUAAACCGUAAGGUGAUGUAUAGGGGCUGACGCCUGCCCGGUGCUGGAAGGUUAAGAGGAGUGGUUAGCUUCUGCGAAGCUACGAAUCGAAGCCCCAGUAAACGGCGGCCGUAACUAUAACGGUCCUAAGGUAGCGAAAUUCCUUGUCGGGUAAGUUCCGACCCGCACGAAAGGCGUAACGAUUUGGGCACUGUCUCAACGAGAGACUCGGUGAAAUCAUAGUACCUGUGAAGAUGCAGGUUACCCGCGACAGGACGGAAAGACCCCGUGGAGCUUUACUGUAGCCUGAUAUUGAAAUUCGGCACAGCUUGUACAGGAUAGGUAGGAGCCUUUGAAACGUGAGCGCUAGCUUACGUGGAGGCGCUGGUGGGAUACUACCCUAGCUGUGUUGGCUUUCUAACCCGCACCACUUAUCGUGGUGGGAGACAGUGUCAGGCGGGCAGUUUGACUGGGGCGGUCGCCUCCUAAAAGGUAACGGAGGCGCUCAAAGGUUCCCUCAGAAUGGUUGGAAAUCAUUCAUAGAGUGUAAAGGCAUAAGGGAGCUUGACUGCGAGACCUACAAGUCGAGCAGGGUCGAAAGACGGACUUAGUGAUCCGGUGGUUCCGCAUGGAAGGGCCAUCGCUCAACGGAUAAAAGCUACCCCGGGGAUAACAGGCUUAUCUCCCCCAAGAGUUCACAUCGACGGGGAGGUUUGGCACCUCGAUGUCGGCUCAUCGCAUCCUGGGGCUGUAGUCGGUCCCAAGGGUUGGGCUGUUCGCCCAUUAAAGCGGUACGCGAGCUGGGUUCAGAACGUCGUGAGACAGUUCGGUCCCUAUCCGUCGUGGGCGUAGGAAAUUUGAGAGGAGCUGUCCUUAGUACGAGAGGACCGGGAUGGACAUACCUCUGGUGUACCAGUUGUCGUGCCAACGGCAUAGCUGGGUAGCUAUGUGUGGACGGGAUAAGUGCUGAAAGCAUCUAAGCAUGAAGCCCCCCUCAAGAUGAGAUUUCCCAACUUCGGUUAUAAGAUCCCUCAAAGAUG